Molecule: long non-coding RNA, 91 nt
Organism: Hippocampus comes (tiger tail seahorse)
Lineage: Eukaryota; Metazoa; Chordata; Actinopteri; Syngnathiformes; Syngnathidae
Exons: 3
Source: RefSeq, a predicted model, not a curated record
CACUAAUACAAUAUACAGCGCCGUGAAAAAGUAUUUGCCUCCUUUCUGAUUUCUGUGCUCUCUGCAUAUUUAUCACACACAAAGGUUUCAG